GCUGAUGUAGCUCAGUAGGUAGAGCACUUCCUUGGUAAGGAAGAGGUUCACGGGUUCGAUUCCCGUCAUCAGCUCCA
RNAcentral lists this transfer RNA (77 nucleotides) under Clostridiales bacterium. RNAcentral's name for it is "tRNA-Thr". It matches the Rfam family "tRNA". From Rfam's summary of the family: Transfer RNA (tRNA) molecules are approximately 80 nucleotides in length. Their secondary structure includes four short double-helical elements and three loops (D, anti-codon, and T loops). The record is from RNAcentral. RNAcentral also lists the same sequence under 2 other names. Lineage: Bacteria; Bacillati; Bacillota; Clostridia; Eubacteriales.